This 458-nucleotide ribosomal RNA is filed under the name Pseudomonas sp. RNAcentral describes it as "bacterial SSU rRNA". It matches the Rfam family "Bacterial small subunit ribosomal RNA", at positions 80 to 534 of the family's 1533-position model. Lineage: Bacteria; Pseudomonadati; Pseudomonadota; Gammaproteobacteria; Pseudomonadales; Pseudomonadaceae. The record is from RNAcentral.
UUGCUUCUCUUGACAGCGGCGGACGGGUGACUUUUGCCUAUGAAUCUGCCUGGUAGUGGGGGAUAACGUUCGGAAACGGACGCUAAUACCGCAUACGUCCUACGGGAGAAAGCAGGGGACCUUCGGGCCUUGCGCUAUCAUAUGAGCCUAGGUCGGAUUAGCUAGUUGGUGGGGUAAUGGCUCACCAAGGCGACGAUCCGUAACUGGUCUGAGAGGAUGAUCAGUCACACUGGAACUGAUACACGGUCCAGACUCCUACUGGAGGCAGCAGUGGGGAAUAUUGGACAAUGGGCGAAAGCCUGAUCCAGCCAUGCCGCGUGUGUGAAGAAGGUCUUCGGAUUGUAAAGCACUUUACGUUGGGAGGAAGGGCAGUAAAUUAAUACUUUGCUGUUUUGACGUUACCGACAGACUAAGCACCGGCUAACUCUGUGCCCGCAGCCGCGGUAAUACAGAGGGUG